CCCUUAGAUGUUCUGGGCUGCACGCGCGCUACACUGAUGCGAUCAACAAGUUUUUCCUAUGUCGAUAGACACGGGUAAUCUUUUGAACUCGCAUCGUGAUGGGGAUAGAUUAUUGUAAUUAUUAAUCUUCAACGAGGAAUUCCUAGUAGGUGCAAAUCAUCAGUUUGCAUCGAUUACGUCCCUGCCCUUUGUACACACCGCCCGUCGCUGCUACCGAUUGGUUGAUCUGGUGAAUUAUUCGGACUGCCGGCUGAAGGGGUUUCCUCAUCUGCCAGCGGAAAGUCUUGUUAACCCUAUCAACUAGAAGAAGCAGAAGUCGUAACA
Molecule: ribosomal RNA, 324 nt
Filed under: uncultured eukaryote
Lineage: Eukaryota
Description: partial 18S ribosomal RNA
Rfam family: Eukaryotic small subunit ribosomal RNA
Source: RNAcentral